This 765-nucleotide ribosomal RNA is filed under the name uncultured Treponema sp. Its description in RNAcentral is "bacterial SSU rRNA". It matches the Rfam family "Bacterial small subunit ribosomal RNA", at positions 28 to 776 of the family's 1533-position model. Lineage: Bacteria; Pseudomonadati; Spirochaetota; Spirochaetia; Treponematales; Treponemataceae. The record is from RNAcentral.
AACGAACGCUGGCGGCGCGUCUUAAGCAUGCAAGUCGAACGGCAAGAGAGGAGCUUGCUUCUCUCCUAGAGUGGCGGACUGGUGAGGAACACGUGGGUAAUCUACCCUUAAGAUGGGGAUAGCUGCUAGAAAUAGCAGGUAAUACCGAAUACACUCGGCAUAUCACAAGAGAUGUUGAGGAAAGGAAGCUACGGCUUCGCUUGAGGAUGAGCUUGCGUCCCAUUAGCUAGUUGGUGAGGUAAAGGCCCACCAAGGCGACGAUGGGUAUCCGGCCUGAGAGGGUGAACGGACACAUUGGGACUGAGAUACGGCCCAAACUCCUACGGGAGGCAGCAGCUAAGAAUAUUCCGCAAUGGACGGAAGUCUGACGGAGCGACGCCGCGUGGAUGAAGAAGGCUGAAAAGUUGUAAAAUCCUUUUGUUGAUGAAGAAUAAGGGUGAGAGGGAAUGCUCAUCUGAUGACGGUAAUCGACGAAUAAGCCCCGGCUAAUUACGUGCCAGCAGCCGCGGUAACACGUAAGGUGCGAGCGUUGUUCGGAAUUAUUGGGCGUAAAGGGCAUGUAGGCGGAUAGGCAAGCUUGGUGUGAAAUGUUACAGCUUAACUGUGAGACAGCAUUGAGAACUGCAGAUCUUGAAUUACUGAAGGGUAACCAGAAUUCCACGUGUAGGGGUGAAAUCUGUAGAUAUGUGGAAGAAUACCAAUGGCGAAGGCAGGUUACCGGCAGAUAAUUGACGCUGAGGUGCGAAAGUGCGGGGAGCGAACAGG